UAAAUUAUAUGCAAAACUUUCGUUAUUCGAAAAUAUUAUAAACAAGAAUGUAUGUAUCAAUCAAGUCGAAAGACAAAAUAUAUAUGUAAUUGCUGGACAGUGAACUUAUCACGGUUGCUAAGGAAUAUCUUGGCGACAACUGGCCUUUUUGAGUCGCGUAAUAUUCCCUAAGAUCGGUUACCGGCUUUAAGUCCUGAUCUGUAUUUAAUAGAGCAUUUAUGGGCCAUACUUUUAGCAAUUUUUUUUUAGCUGAACAAAGCAGUAUAACAGCUCAAUACAGCUAAAACAAACCAUUGAGGAAUGAGCUGAUUUUGGAUGUUAUUAAGUUAUUUUUUUAUUUUGAUAACCUAGAAUAUUCAAGUAUUUUAAUUUUUUAAAUUUAUGUUCUGUAUUUUCAAGAGGUUGCGAUGCCCGAAUUCUAUGGUGAAUCUACAAAUUCAAAAUCGACUUGACCUAAGGACUUGAAAUCAGUAGGGUGCGCUCAGCACAUGUAAACGCAUGGAACGCUCUAUUACACUAUAUGACACAAUUUUUUCUGUAAAAAAUGUAAAUUUUCCUGGAGAAUAGAAUAAUUCAUAAGUAAAAAAAGUAUGCUCUCCGUUUUUCGAAAUUUAGCUUACUGGAAACGCCAUUAUUAAUUCUAGUAUGUAUGUACAUACAUACAUAUGUUACCAAAAAAGUAAAAAUAUGGGCAUAAUCUACCUUACCUUUUUAUUCAAUUGGCAUACAUAUAAGUAGGCGAGGUUGAAUCUUUGAAAAAUAAUUCAAAAAUUUAAAUUAAAAAAAAUAAUGGCACAAUUUUUUAAAAACUAACGCUUUUUAGUUAUGGCUCAAUCUCCCAUAAAAAUUAAGUUUGAUCCAAUACCCAGCCGACUGAUGUACGGUGUUAUCAAUCAAAAAUUACCAACAUUUUGAUUUUUUUAUAUGUACAUAUGUAUGAAAAAACUUAAAAAAAAACUAAAUUGGCAAUUUAUUUUUUUUUUCAAAUGUCUACCAAAAGUUUAAUUUUUGCCAAUCAUCCGGAAUUGUGGAGAAGGAAGUGCGAGAACAUUUUUUCGAGGCGGGGCGAUUCAGAACGUUGUAACUCAUAUUCAAUAUAAUAUUUUUAUAUUUGUAUAUAAGUAUGUACUGUCUAAAUAUAUGUUAAAUAGGCUGUCACAUGGGCAACUUUCUUUUACUAUAUAUUUUAAACGUAUUUAAUUCUUUUAUUGCAAAAAAUAUAUGUACGUUUUUAUUUAAACCUUACAUUGCCCGUAGAGGAAAAAAAAUUAAAAUUAAAAAGCACGCUUGGUAAAAAUUCACUAAAUAUAAACAAACGCACUGUUCUAAAAGAAAAAUAGAUCAAGAUCGUUGUGAUAUUUAAUCCUUUUUCAAUAAGUAAAGUUUACCACUUCGAGCAAUAAAUUUUGUAAUGCAAACUUUUGGAUCGAAAUAAAAAACGUAUACAAUAAGCUUUUUCAAACACCGCAUGCAUAUUAUAUGAAGUAGAGGUCCCGUUAUAUUUAUAUAUUAAAAUAUCCUAUUGGAAUUGUUUUAACAGCAAUACCGAAAUUGAGUCUUUGCAGUAUGUAACAUGACUGCCACACGGCCAGGUAUACGGUUAAAACAUAGGAAUAAAUACAGUACCUACAUAUAUACCUUGAAAGUCGGAUUAAAACCUCGUUCUUCGAUCAUGUCUGCCCCAAAUGAUGUCAUUUGAAAACAACCGUUGUAUUUUUUUGCUAGAAAAUGUCUUGAUUCUGGUGUGUUAUGCAAACUGUAAUCAAUACAGCAAUCGUAUUAAAACGCUUCUCGAUUCAAAUCACUAUUUGAAAAAUUUCUUCUUGAGCUUCGCAAAUAAUCUAUUUGUUCGACGAUAGACGAUUUCGCAUAGCUAACCUAGCCGUUUAUUCACGUUGUCGUCACGAAAAUGGAUUAAAAAGUAUCCUAUUUUCUGCCCCUGGUCCUAAGCUACCUCCAAACCAAAUUUAUGUCAAAUCGGUUCAGCCAUUCUUUAUCUAUAAAUAAUUGAACUAACACGACUUUCUUUUAUAUAUAUAGAUUUAUUAAUAUCUAAAAAAAUCAAUAAUGAAUAAAAUAUGCAAAGGAUAAAUAAAAAAAUAGAAAAAUAACAGUGCACAAAUAUCAAUUUUACUGAGGUAGGUUUUACUAAGUGUGCUGGGAUAAAAAAUAAGGUAACAAAAUGAGCGAAAUGAGACCAAAAUAAUAAGGGUACUCAUUUGAUGUUCUUCUUCUUCUUGACUGGCGUAGACACCGCUUACGCGGUUAUAGCCGAGUCCAAAACAGCGCGCCACGUAUCCCUCCUUCUGGCAGUUUGGCGCCAAUUGGUUAUACCAAGCGAAGCCAGGUCCCUCUCCACCUGGUCCUUCCAUCGGAGUGGAGGUCUCCCUCUUCCUCGGCUUCCACCAGCGGGUACUGCAUCGAAUACUUUCAGAGCUGGAGCACUUUCAUCCAUUCGAACAACAUGACCUAGCCGCUGUUUUUUUAUUCGCUGGACUACAUAUGUCUAUGUCAUCAAAUAACACAUACAGCUCAUCGUUCCAUCGUCUGCGGUAUUCGUCGUUGCCAAUUCUUAAGGGACCAUAAAUCUUCCGCAAAACCUUUCUCUCGAAAACUCCUAGUGCCGUCUCAUCGGAUGUUGACAUCGUCCACGCUUCUGCACCGUAAAGUAGGACGGGAAUGAUGAGAGACUUGUAGACUUUGGUUUUUGUUCGUCGAGAGAGGACUUUACUUUUCAAUUGCCUACUUAGUCCAUAGUAGCACCUGUUGGCAAGAGUGAUUCUGCGUUGGAUUUCCAGGCUGACAUUGUUAUUGCUGUUAAAGCUGGUUCCCAGGUAGACGAAAUUAUCUACAACUUCAAAGUUAUGACUGUCAACAGUGACGUGGGAGCCAAGACGCGAAUGCGCUGACUGUUUGUUUGAUGACAGGAGAUAUUUCGUCUUGUCCUCGUUCACCACCAGACCCAUACGCUUCGCUUCCUUAUCCAGUCUGGAAAAAGCAGAACUAACGGCGAGGGUGUUGUUUCCAACGAUAUCGAUAUCAUCGGCGUACGCCGGUAGCUGUACACUCUUGUGGAAGAUUGUACCUUCUCUAUUUAGCUCUGCAGCUCUUAUAAUUUUUUUCCAGCAUCAAGUUAAAGAAGUCGCACGAUAGUGAGUCACCUUGUCUGAAACCUCGUCUGGUAUCGAACGGCUCGGAGAGGUCCUUCCCGAUCCUGACGGAGCUUUUGGUGUUGCUCAAUGUCAGCUUACACAGCCGUAUUAGUUUUGCGGGGAUACCAAAUUCAGACAUCGCGGCAUAAAGGCAGCUCCUUUUCGUGCUGUCGAAAGCAGCUUUAAAGUCGACAAAGAGAUGGAGUGUGUCGAUCCUUUUUUCACGGGUCUUCUCCAAAAUUUGGCGCAUGGUGAAUAUCUGGUCUGUUGUUGAUUUUCCAGGUCUAAAGCCACACUGAUAAGGUCCAAUCAGUUUGUUGACGGUGGGCUUUAGUUUUUCACACAAUACGCUCGACAGAACCUUAUACGCGAUGUUGAGGAGGCUUAUCCCACGGUAAUUGGCGCAAAUUGUGGGGUCUCCCUUUUUGUAUAUAGGGCAGAGUACAGUGAGAUUCCAAUCGUCAGGCAUGCUUUCUUCCGACCAUAUUCUGCAAAGAAGCUGAUGCAAGCACCUUAUCAGCUCUUCGCCGCCGUAUUUGAAUAGCUCGGCCGGUAAUCCAUCGGCCCCCGCUGCCUUAUUGUUCUUCAAGCGGGUAAUUGCUAUUCGAAUUUCUUCACGGUCGGGCAAUGGAACAUCUGCUCCAUCGUCGUCGAUUGGGGAAUCGGCUUCGCCAUCUCCUGUUGUUGUACUUUCACUGCCAUUCAGCAGGCUGGAGAAGUGUUCCCUCCACAAACUCAGUAUACUCUGGUCACCAAUAACUAGAUCACCUCUGGGGGUCCUACAGGAGUGUGCUCCGGUCUUGAAACCUUCAGUUAGUCGCCGGAUCUUUUCGUAACAUUUUCGAGCAGUACCUCUGUCGGCCAGCUUGUCAAGCUCUUCAUACUCACGCAUUUCGGCCUCUUUCUUUUUUUGUCUACAAAUGCGUCUCGCUUCCCUAUUCAGCUCUCGGUAUCUUUCCCAUCCCGCUCGUGUUCGGUCGAUCGCAACAUUGCGAGGUAGGCAGUCUGUUUUCUCUCCACUGCGAGACGGCAAUCCUCAUCAUACCAGCUGUUUUUUUGACUUUUCCGAAAACCAAUGGUUUCGGUUGCAGCUGUAUGUAAGGAGUUUGAUAUGCCGUCCCACAGCUCCCUUAUACCGAGAUGCUGAUGAGUGCUCUCAGAGAGCAGGAGUGCAAGUCGAGUAGAAAAUCGUUCAGAUGCGCUCAUAGGUACGUUCUAGGCGCUCAUAGAAGGUAUCUUUGAUCACUUCGUCCUUCUCUUCCGUCGGGGCGUGGGCGCAAAUCAGCGAUAUGUUGAAGAACCUCGCUUUGAUGCGGAUUGUGGCUAGACGUUCAUCCAGCGGAGUGAAUGCCAGGACUCGACGACGGAGUCUCUCUCCCACCACGAAUCCCACACCGAAUUUGCGCUCCUUUAUAUGACCGCUGUAGUAGAUGUCACAAGGACCCACCUUCUUCCGUCCUUGUCCCGUCCAUCGCAUUUCUUGGAUUGCGGUGAUGUCAGCCUUUACUCUUACGAGGACAUCAACCAGCUGGGCAGAGGCACCUUCGCAAUUAAGGGUCCGGACAUUCCAGGUGCUUGCCCUUAAUUCGUAGUCCUUUAAACGUUUGCAGCGGUCGUCAUCAAAAUGGGGGUCUCUCAUCCGAGGCUGGUUAGUUCUUUUCGUUGUGUUUUUAUGUGGUGGGUCCCAAACCCUACGCACAACCGCAUAAGCGGGUUUCGCCUUCUCACUUUAGCUCGCCUCCAAACGGAUGUCUGUUGGCUACCCAGAUACUUGGUCUAAGACCGGAAGUCGUGAGCUGCUUGAGCCACAUGCAAAAGAAUCGUUACUGGCCACUCCCAAGUGAAUGACAGUCAGAAACUUUCCUCGCUUACGUGAACUUUCACAUAUGACUCCAUCCGGAACAGAACUUUGCAUAAAUACUGCAUUUAUAGUGUGGCAGCCCCUUUCUUAAAAUCGCCGAAAUCGGACCAUAGGUUUUCAAGGCCCCAUAAAUCGAACAUGAGGACCUCGGUGCUUCUUACCCAGUAUUAGGGUUUCCAACUUUCAACGGCUUUUAUACCAUAUAUAUGACCAAUAUGUGGGCCAAAUUUUGUAUUAUAUAAUAUUAAAUAAAUAAAUUGCGAGAGAGAAUGUUCGGUCACAACCGAACUUAGCCCUUCUUUACUUCUUUAUUUGUAGAAAGUAGCCAAGAAUAAUAAAAAGCAAAAAUCUUUAAAAAUUAUGAAAAGUAGGAAAUAUAUUUGCCAUUUUAUUACAAAUGCGCGAGUUUUAUUAUUUGGGCAGUACACUUAUUUUCGUGUUGCCUUUUUUAUUAUUUUAUUCAUAAUUUCUUACUGACUACAUUUUAUAAUCUUAGUGCUAUUUAUACUAAUGGAAUGCGGCUGCUGUUAUCUGCAUGCAACUUCUAUGUUGUAAUUCGAUAUCCAUUAUCUUGCUAGAACAAAUAUAGUUUUGUUAUGCUUAUCAGUUUUUCGUUAUGGAAUUCUGUCUGUUGUGUUUAUAAUGCAGAAAUUUUUAUUGUUUGUUUAGGUUAAGUGUGAGAUUUACUAAUGCCCGGUUUCACAGUUCGUACUUAAGUUGUGCCCAAAUAAAAACUUAGCUAAGCAUUGUUAUUGACUGAGUAGUCAUUUGCGUUUCACAGUCGAUGCUUAUUUUCUAUAAAAUUCUAUUACGAUAUAUGGCAGCACAAUGAAAAACAUUUGUUUACAAAUACCAUCUGACAAAUUGAAAUUAUUGUUGAUGAAAAAUAACUUUGCGACGAAUAAAUUUAGAAUCUGGGAAAUGGAUGGAAACAAUAAAAGGACACCGAAUUUCACCGCAAGCGAGUGGGGGCACCUAUUGCAACUCGCAGGAAAGCAUUGAAUGCAAGAAAUUCCAAAAAAUAUACAUUAAAUAAGCUACAUUUAGUUUCAAGGAUAGGAUAUUUGUAUAUUGUUAUAAUUGCUUGUUGUAGGUAAUAUAUAUGAAUGUUGCCAUAUUCUGAUAUAUUAAUUAUUGGAAGAUCUAACUUUUCAUGGUUUAUUAAAUAAUGCACAUCAAUCAAGUUAAGUGUGCCAGAGUAAAAUUUUUUAUUUUUCGCGAAAUUAAUAGUGUUAGUUAUUGAUUUUAGUUAAUUAUAAACUUCUGAUAUAACAAUGCUUUCGGUUAUUGCUUUGGGGUCAAGGCUUUCGAAUAUUCUUUCGAACUAUGAAUUAAUUAAGUUUUGCUUAUUAUUAUUUUAUAUUAGAAAAUUAAGUGAAGUUUUGAUUUCCACUAGGUCAUCGUGGUCUGGUGUGCCAGUGAUGAAUUUUAACAUGGAACCAAGAAAGUUAGGUGAUCUUUUUGGUCUAUAAAUAUUGGGAAUGAUAUUGUCGCAUAAUGCGAUAGGGAAAAGUAAAAAGAAAAUUAUUCCAUAUAUGCCUUUACUCUAUAUUAUCCUUAUGGAUAAUCCGUCCUUUAUUAGUCGAUACAGUUUUUCCGUUAUCUUUUUUUACAACGAGCUUCGCGUAUUUUCUUACGUUCUUAUUACGCCUGUGCGUCUUGAAAAUAUUACGUCACCUGGAUUAUAGUUCAGCUGCUUUCGAUUGCGAUUAUGAUGACGCAAGACUCUUUCCUGGUUUUGUUGUAUUCGUUCUUGGAUGUCGGGAUACCCCCUUUGAUUAUAAAACACGUCCUCGGGUUUCUCGUUGGUAACGGAAUGUAUGGUUUGGUUGUACUGCCGAACAACUUCGAAAAUUUGGUCUUCCGGUGCUGAAUUAUCCUGGUCAGCUAAAACUUGUGCGAUUUCGAUAAUUGUGCUAUGCGUCCUUUCAACUUGACCGUCUGUAGUAGAAUGGAAUGCUGGCGUUUUUGUGUGCGUUAUUUGUAAUCGUUUGUAGAUUUGUUGUGCACAUAUGCUUGUAAACGAUAGAUCGUUAUCAGUCAUUAAAAAUUUUGCGUUUGGGUAUAUUUAUGAAAGAAUCUCGUCGACGUAUUUGUCCGUUGAGCUAAUGUAUACGUUAUCGCUCAUGUAGAAUAAGUCUAAGUGUAUGUAUUCGCCUACUUUGUUUGGCGUUGGUGCGGAACCAAUUGGUUGUUUGUUUGGUCGGCGUUCGUAUUUGUUUGUGAGACAGAUUUCACAGUCUUGUACUUCUUUUUUACAAGCGUUACGUAUGUUUGGCCAGUAAUAUUUUAGGGAAAUUUCCUCCUGUAGUUUAUGUGUGCACAUUUAUGUAUGUCA
Zeugodacus cucurbitae (melon fly) is the source of this 7351-nucleotide long non-coding RNA. RefSeq lists it as uncharacterized. The record is from RefSeq and is a predicted model, not a curated record. The transcript has 2 exons. Lineage: Eukaryota; Metazoa; Arthropoda; Insecta; Diptera; Tephritidae.